UCCCUGGUGGUCCAGUGGCUAAGACUCUGUGCUCCCAAGGGAGGGGACCCAGGUUCAAAUCCCUGGUCGGGGAA
Bos taurus (domestic cattle) is the source of this 74-nucleotide non-coding RNA. The record is from Rfam. NCBI's taxonomy places the organism in Eukaryota, Metazoa, Chordata, Mammalia, Artiodactyla, Bovidae.